GACGAACGCUGGCGGCGUGCUUAACACAUGCAAGUCGAACGGAAAGGCCCUGCUUGCAGGGUGCUCGAGUGGCGAACGGGUGAGUAACACGUGGGUGAUCUGCCCCUUACUUUGGGAUAAGCCUGGGAAACUGGGUCUAAUACUGGAUAGGACCAUGCUGUAGGUGGUGUGGUGGAAAGAUUAGUUUCGGUAAGGGAUGAGCUCGCGGCCUAUCAGCUUGUUGGUGGGGUAAUGGCCUACCAAGGCGUCGACGGGUAGCCGGCCUGAGAGGGUGGACGGCAACAUUGGGACUGAGAUACGGCCCAGACUCCUACGGGAGGCAGCAGUGGGGAAUAUUGCACAAUGGGCGCACGCCUGAUGCAGCGACGCCGCGUGGGGGAUGACGGCCUUCGGGUUGUAAACUCCUUUCAGCCAUGACGAAGCCCUUGUGGUGACGGUAGUGGUAGAAGAAGCACCGGCUAACUACGUG
This 469-nucleotide ribosomal RNA is filed under the name uncultured bacterium. RNAcentral describes it as "partial 16S ribosomal RNA". It matches the Rfam family "Bacterial small subunit ribosomal RNA", at positions 28 to 507 of the family's 1533-position model. The record is from RNAcentral.